This 1319-nucleotide long non-coding RNA is filed under the name Sarcophilus harrisii (Tasmanian devil). RNAcentral's name for it is "lncRNA (ENSSHAG00000030705.1)". The record is from RNAcentral. Lineage: Eukaryota; Metazoa; Chordata; Mammalia; Dasyuromorphia; Dasyuridae.
ACGUGAGUUCAAAUUUCCUUACCCUUACUCUCUAUGUGACCCUAGACAAAUCAUCUAACUUCUCUCAGCCUCAGUUUCUUUAUCUGUAAAAUGGGGAUCAUAAUAAGACAUAGUUCCCAAGUUUUCUGUGAAGAUAAAAUGAAAUGUUUGUAAAGCACUUUGCAAAUGUUCAAACACUACAUAAAUGCUAUUGUUAUUAUUAUAACCAUGUGAGAUAGAUAUUGUGUGUAUUACUGUUCCAAUUUUGACAGAUGAGAAAGCAAGACUUGGAAAGGCAAAAGAACUAGAGCUUAUCAUGCAUUUAAGGUCGAAGAGGCUGGCACAUGAUUAUUUGCGGGAUGCCAAGGAUUUGACAAGAAGACAAUGGUUUCUGCUUCAUUUUUGUAAUGUGAGGUCAAUGGCCUCAAAAGUAUGUUCACAAACCGGGCAUUGGAAGUGGAGCCUAACUAACAUGCCAAGGAAUUCUCUCAUCUCCUACUCUGGCUCAACAUCUGAGGAAGCUCUUUUCUGCAACAAAUAGUUAAAAUCUUUCCCCCACACUCAGUUUGUACAAGCCAACAAAUCUGUGAAUGUAAGAAUGUGAAAGGACUGUUUUGGUGACAGCCAAUUGAAUGAUAUGGCAAUGUGGUCAUUUUCAGGAUAAAGUGACUAAGAGGGGUCCUAGUCAGUGGGUUAAGUGGUAGAGGAACUGAAAAUGGAGUCUCUUUCUAGUGAAGUUUGAGCUUCACUUUGCUUAUUUUAAUUCAAAUUAGCGAAUAUUUAAUGAAAGUGUUACAAAUCAUCAGAAUGUCCGAUAUAGUCAGUUAAGUAUAAAAAUGAAUUUCAAAAACAAAUAUAAAUGAUUUUAGGAUCAUCUAUUUAAUUGGUCUCUAUCAGUUGGAAAAUAAGUUAAUGCCCAUCAGUUGGAGAAUGGCUGAGUAAGUUAUGGAAUAUGAAAAUAAUGGAAUAUUAUUGUUCUAUUAAAAAAAUGAAGAAAAGGCUGAUUUUAGAAAAGCCUGGAUUUACACGAACUGAUGCUGAGUGAAACAAACAGAACCAGAAAGACGUUGUACAGCAUUGUGCAACAAUAAAAUUAAGUAAUGUUUAACUGUGAUAGACUUAGCUCUUCUCAGAAAUUCAGUGAUCCAAGGGAAUUCCAAAAACUUUGAAUGGAAAAUUCCAUCCGUAUCCAGAGAGAGAACUAUGGAGACCGAAAGCAGAUUGCAGCAUGCUACUUUCACCUUUUUUCCCCUUUCUCUCUUUUUUAUUUUCUCAUGGUUUUUCCCUUUUGUUCUGAUUUUACUCUCCCAACAUGACUCAUAUGAAAAUAUGUAAAAGAU